UACGUAGGGUGCGAGCGUUAAUCGGAAUUACUGGGCGUAAAGCGUGCGCAGGCGGUUCGCCAAGUCAGGUGUGAAAUCCCCGGGCUUAACCUGGGAAUUGCGCUUGAAACUAGCGGGCUUGAGUGCGGCAGAGGGGGGUGGAAUUCCACGUGUAGCAGUGAAAUGCGUAGAGAUGUGGAGGAACACCGAUGGCGAAGGCAGCCCCCUGGGUCGACACUGACGCUCAUGCACGAAAGCGUGGGGAGCAAACAGG
This 253-nucleotide ribosomal RNA is filed under the name Betaproteobacteria bacterium. RNAcentral describes it as "partial 16S ribosomal RNA". It matches the Rfam family "Bacterial small subunit ribosomal RNA", at positions 524 to 776 of the family's 1533-position model. RNAcentral also lists the same sequence under 1 other name. The record is from RNAcentral. Lineage: Bacteria; Pseudomonadati; Pseudomonadota; Betaproteobacteria.